Molecule: ribosomal RNA, 456 nt
Filed under: uncultured Rhodoferax sp.
Lineage: Bacteria; Pseudomonadati; Pseudomonadota; Betaproteobacteria; Burkholderiales; Comamonadaceae
Description: bacterial SSU rRNA
Rfam family: Bacterial small subunit ribosomal RNA
Source: RNAcentral
GCACAAGCGGUGGAUGAUGUGGUUAAUUCGAUGCAACGCGAAAACCUUACCACCUUUGACAUGUACGGAACCCUUUAGAGAUAGAGGGGUGCUCGAAAGAGAGCCGUAACACAGGUGCUGCAUGGCUGUCGUCAGCUCGUGUCGUGAGAUGUUGGGUUAAGUCCCGCAACGAGCGCAACCCUUGUCAUUAGUUGCUACAUUCAGUUGGGCACUCUAAUGAGACUGCCGGUGACAAACCGGAGGAAGGUGGGGAUGACGUCAAGUCCUCAUGGCCCUUAUGCCCAGGGCUACACACGUGCUACAAUGGGCGGUACAAAGGGUAGCGAUGCCGCGAGGUGAAGCCAAUCCCAAAAAGCCGUCCACAGUUCGGAUUGGAGUCUGCAACUCGACUCCAUGAAGCCGGAAUCGCUAGUAAUCGUGGAUCAGCAUGCCACGGUGAAUACGUUCCCGGGCCUU